UAAAUGAUCCUUGUAAAUAAUAUUCGCGUUUGACGAACAUUCUAAGUAUACCCUGGUUGUAUGACAUAGACGUUGACGAAGGUAGUACGUAAAAUAUGAAUUGUUGAGAAAUCCGUAACGAACGGUAAUAAGAUUAAUGAAAGCCGAAUGUGAUUCGGAUAAGAAUGAGUCCUGAGGUAUGUCAAUUGCUUGCCAGAAAGCCAUAAGGAAUAAGAAAU
Molecule: long non-coding RNA, 218 nt
Filed under: Panax ginseng (ginseng)
Lineage: Eukaryota; Viridiplantae; Streptophyta; Magnoliopsida; Apiales; Araliaceae
Description: long non-coding RNA (PGIN_LNC006195)
Source: RNAcentral